Pan troglodytes (chimpanzee) is the source of this 1828-nucleotide long non-coding RNA. The record is from Ensembl. Lineage: Eukaryota; Metazoa; Chordata; Mammalia; Primates; Hominidae.
UUUUUUCCACCCACCUUUGAACUACCUUGAAACAAUAAAGUGUUCUCUUUUGACAGGCUGGCCUAAUGGGAAGGUUGACCUGAUUUCCACUCUCCUACCGAAAAGUGACAAUGCAGCCGCUGGGCCAAGGAGGGACGUUGUGUGACCAGUUCAGAGGCAGGAGUUCACGCGGCUGCAGUGAGGAGGGACGUUGUGUGACCAGUUCAGAGGCAGGAGUUCACGCGGCUGCAGUGAGGAGGGACAUUGUGUGAUGAGUUCAGAGGCAGGAGUUCACGCGUCUGCAGUGACCCUCUGCAAAAGGAAGCAACUGGACAUUUCCUCUACACAUUGUCUCUUUUGAAAAGUUCCAAGCAGAUGCUGACUCACCCACUAAAGCUGAGGCCGAAGGAAAUUCUCCGAUGACAAGGCUCUGCAGGUGCCAUACGGAGCGAGUGCUUUUCAGGCAGCUGGCGGAGCCCAGAGCAAGCUUCCCCCAGAGCAUCCGAAGGGGCCACUUGGCUGCAGUCGCCAUCGCGAGAACAACAGGAAACUGAGCAGGGGCUGCUGUCGUCCUGGGCAGGACAGCUCUCCAUUUCCCUUCAGGCCUGGCAUUGUUUUGCUGAUGGAAGAAAAGUGGAAUGGGGCGUGAUCACACUGCCGGCUCAGCAGCUGGAAAGCUCAUGUGUUUGCUUAAAUGUGCACAAGAUAAGGAAACUGAGACACAAAAAUGGGGGAUGACUUGCCCAGGAAGCUGGACCACAUCACACAACGUUACUAUUGUAAUACCUUUAUCAAGAGUACCUCACAUGGCAACAAUGGGAGAAAAGUCAUACAGCUGGCUGCGUCAGGGAGAAAAGGAAGGGUGCCCCUGGAGGCCACGGGAGACCAAGACAAUCCCUCUGUGGCUCAGAGUCUGGUAAUGGCUUAAUUAUCUUGCGGGAAAAAAAUGUGAACUGGCUACACCUCCUGAUCCAUGAAAUUGCAAUUACCCUGAAGAGUCGUUCAUCAACUGCCCUUUUGAAGGUGGGAGGGACAGCAUCUGAGGCUGCACAUUUUGACGCACACACAGCUUCCCACAGUGACACAGUGGGAGGGACGGCGGCCGGGGUGAGGAAUCCCGAACGCGGCUUCCCCUCUGCCUUGGCUACACAGGCGUUCUUUGGUUUAUUGCUUCUCCUCUCUGCACUGCACAUUCUUUACUUAAAAUAUGGCUGUGGUUCAGAAGAUGGGUUUUUGCCCACUUAGGGCAUGUGCUCACUGAUUUAAAAACUUCUCCACUCCCUACCACUCUCUGUUGUCUAAUGAUGCAUUUCAGUUCAUUGAUUAAUUGAUUGAGAUGGAGUCUCCCUCUGUCACCCAGGCUGGAGUACAGUGGCACAAUCGUGGCUCACUGCAACUUCCACCUCCUGGGUUCAAGCAGUUCUCCUGCCUCAGCCUCCCACGUAGUGGGAUUGCAGGCGCCUGCUACCACGUCCAGCUAAUUUUUUUAUUUUUAAUAGAGACGGGGUUUUGCCAUCUUGGCCAUGGUUGGCCAGGCUGGUCUUGAACUCCUAACCUCAGGUGAUCUGCCCGCCUUGGCCUCCCAAAGUGUUGGGAUUACAGGCGUGAGCCCCUGUGCCUGGCCCUGCAUUUCAUUCUUUUAAGUUCUAUGACUGGCACAUGCCCUAAAGCUGGGCUGCCAGAUUUAGUAAAUUUAGUAUAAGUAUGUGUUGUGUAGUAUUUGGAACAUGCUUAUAUUUUAAAAGUAUUAAUUUUUAAUCUGAAAUUAAAAUGUAACUGGGCAUCCUGUGUUUUAUCUGGGCAUUUCACAGAAGCAUUUGAGUUUGAGACUCCUAGACUAGAGGGUUUG